ACCUGCCUGUAUAUGGGCUGCAUGCUUAUAAGCAACAUGUGGAUGUCGAUGUCGCAUUAAGAGAAACAUCAGCAGGGAAAUUAUGCUAUUCCCAUUUUCUGCUUGGCCAUGGUCAAGAAACAUAAACUACAACACACAAACAGAGAGAGAUAUGUCACAUGUUGCAUUUUUCUUUUCGAUAGUUAGUUUUAUUUUCGAUUAGCUAACAAAUGCUCGGCGCCAGCAGACGAAGAACAACUCAAAGGUAAGAAAAAGACAAAGACAAAACAAAGUGGGCACCGUCUUCUCAGAAUGCAUAAUCACUGGCCACACCAAAACGAGUGGAAUGCCCGUGAGAUGCGAAACUCCGUUAAUAACGGACUGUACCGCCAGCCCAGGCUGAGCGUUGCUGAAGUGAGGACUGGCUUGUAUGCCGCAUGUGGAGAGAGAGAAAGCAAUUCUUCAGAUGAAUUUUGAAGAAUUGCUUUUUCGUCAAACGGAAAAUUUAAUGUUUCAUUAUUUUUGGAGGAGAACUAAAAAAAAUAAAUAAAUAAAUAAGGGCGCUGACUCUGUCCUGAGGACCUAGCCUCUC
Long non-coding RNA from Anguilla rostrata (American eel), 571 nucleotides. RefSeq lists it as uncharacterized. The record is from RefSeq and is a predicted model, not a curated record. NCBI's taxonomy places the organism in Eukaryota, Metazoa, Chordata, Actinopteri, Anguilliformes, Anguillidae. The transcript has 3 exons.